Molecule: RNA transcript, 1431 nt
Organism: Glycine soja
Lineage: Eukaryota; Viridiplantae; Streptophyta; Magnoliopsida; Fabales; Fabaceae
Gene name: universal stress protein PHOS32-like
Exons: 4
Source: RefSeq, a predicted model, not a curated record
GUCUCUCAUCACUUUCCUAAAUACACACACAAAACCGGUUCCUCUCUUAACCCUCUGAAAGCCAAAAGAGAAAAAAAAAAUGCAGCCCCACCAGAACCCUCCCGCACUGGAUUCCGACCCGCAGCUCCCGCAGAUCAAAAUCCACCACCCUGCCUCCCCACGCCACCAUCACCCUUCCUCCGCCGGCGCCGCGAUCCCCACCCCCACCGCCGGCGCGCGCCGCAAAAUCGGCGUGGCCGUCGACCUCUCCGACGAGAGCGCCUACGCGGUCCGCUGGGCCGUGCAGCACUACAUCCGCCCCGGCGACGCCGUGAUCCUGCUCCACGUCAGCGCUACCAACGUCCUCUUCGGCGCCGACUGGGGCUCCAUCGACCUCUCCAUCAACACCGACCCCAACUCCGACGAGGAUGCCGUCAGCGCCGUCAACAACAGCAACGACCACAACAGCAAGCGCAAGCUGGAGGACGACUUCGACGCCUUUACGGCGUCCAAGGCGGCGGAUCUCGCGAAACCGUUACGGGAAUUGCAGAUUCCGUUCAAGAUCCAUAUCGUGAAGGAUCAUGACAUGAAGGAGAGGCUUUGCUUGGAGGUGGAGAGGCUUGGGCUGAGUGCUGUUAUUAUGGGGAGUAGAGGCUUUGGCGCUGUGAGGCGUGGCAGCGAUGGGAAGCUUGGGAGUGUUAGUGAUUACUGCGUUCAUCACUGUGUUUGUCCUGUUGUGGUGGUGCGUUAUCCCGAUGAUAAGGAUGCGGUCGCGGCGGCCACCACGGCCGAGCCCGUGGUGGCGGUCAAGGACGGAGACGAGGGCGAGGCCGUCGUCCAGCCGGUGCCGCAUAAGAAAGGUCACAAUUGCAGUCGUGGACACCCCAAAGAAACGAAAUACAAAACUUUGACCUUGCGGUCAAAGUGACAAACUUUCAUUUAGAACCAUGCUAGAAUCAUCGUGGUUGCAGACUGUUUAAAGCCUUGCUUGUACAUAUUGGAAUAUAGCAAGGUUUCAAAGAGAGGAUUAGUUGGAGCCAACUCAUCACUUCAACCCUAUCUCUGAAGAGUGUUUCUGAUCCGAAGAGAUAGGUGGAAAUAUGGUUGUAGAGUGCUCUCUUUCUCUUCCUGUCAGGUUGUACUUAGAGCAUUUCCUGCAUAUGAACUGUGGAAAGAUUAUGGAUGAUUUUGUAUGGCUUGAUAUGAUCUCGGUUCCAUUAGGCUUUGGAAGAUUGUUUUUAGUUCCGAAGUGGUCUAUACUCUUUCAUUUAGAUGUACAAGUUUGCCUGUGACUGUUUUUGGGGUUAUUUUCUUCCCAUAUGAUGUGGGAAAUCGGAUUAUCAUGACGAGCACUUGUUUAAUGUUCACAAUGACGAUAUUUCAGUGAACGGUGGUAGUCACAAGUCAAUCGUUGAAACAGUUAACGAAUUGGAUUUUUAAUUUUUCUGGAUA